This 727-nucleotide long non-coding RNA is filed under the name Rosa chinensis. Its description in RNAcentral is "sRNA RchiOBHm_Chr7g0200171". The record is from RNAcentral. Lineage: Eukaryota; Viridiplantae; Streptophyta; Magnoliopsida; Rosales; Rosaceae.
GAUGGAACUCAAGCCGUUGUAGCACUCCCAUGCCUUCAUCAGUAACUGCUAGUGAUAAAACAAAAGAUAAAUAUCAAGCUAACAAGUUAUAUAAUCUGCAGGGCUACAAACCUUUGGUUAUCCAUCUUCUGAUGAUUAAGAACUUCAAAAGUGAAAGUUGUUUGUGUUAGUCUACCAUUUGAGUACUUCAUAAUGGAUUGCAGAUUUGCAGUAGAUGGAGUUGGAACUAAUGUGGGGUUUGAAGCAACAAUAUUAAUGGCCAGAAUUUCUUGCAUUGCUGUUGAUGAUGCAAGGUUACCAGGGUUGGCUUGUUGUCACUUGGAUGACAAGGUUUCCAAAUAGUGGCUGGCAUUAGAGUUGAAAAUUAGUGCAGGAGAUUUGGAAUUAGCAUACAUGAUUUGGUAGUAGCGAACAGUAUCAGUAAUUAUUUGAAGAUUAUUCUCGUGAGACUCUGUCCACAUGUUACAUAUCCAUGUCCACCGGUUCUCAUUCUGUUGUGAUCUUAACAAAGAAAGUCAUAUGCUGAGGCUUUAACUUAAUGCUGCACUCACAAGCUACACACAAGACACAGUCGAUAAGUUGCCUGGUUUGCUCUUUUCCUACCUAUUCUCAUGUUCUUGGAAACACUGCCUUCUUUCUUUUGCUGUACUUAGUGAACUUUUCUUGUUGUAGUUUUUGAAAACCAGUAAAGAACUGAAGAUAAAACAUCAUUACCUUUUAUUGCAUU